CAUGCAGUAUUGCGUUUAUUCUCUAAUGCAGUGGAUUUUAGUUUAGCAGUGAUGGUACCUAUUGUUCAAUAAACUGUGUGGUCAGCUUGUUUAAUGUAGUGCUUGUGCACACUUAUUUGUUAGAUGUAUAGUUGGAGUGCGGAAAAGUCCACCCUCCGUUUUUAAGUAUGAACUGAAGCGAUCUUGUAAAGUGACCGUUACAGUAUACAAUAUUAUAAAAUAUUAUCACGUCAUCAGGUCGGUCGAGCAGAUGCUUAUUAAUGCAGGGGUGACAACUUUCAUUCGUUUGGCACUUGGCAAAUAAUAAUCCAAAUACUUAUCAUGUAAUGUUUUAUAAUAUCAUGUCUACAAACCAAACCCACGUAUUAUGCCUUUCAUGACGUCUUACGUUCGAAUAGCUCAUAACAUCUCUGAGGUAAAUUAUUCCCCGAGGCUAAUGUUAGUAACGCUUGUUCAGUUUACGAUCUCAACGUUACCGAGCAUAUCUUCUGAAUAUCUUUUUUGCGAAACACAAUCGACGAUAAACGACAUUCAACUAAAACAUCUGUGGCCUUCACGAGCAUCCAGUUAGCGUCGAUCGUCGUGUCUCAAGAGACCAUCGUGCCUCAGGUCAACAUGAACUGCAGCCUGCAAGAAGAUCAACCACAGAAGACUGCCUUCUUCAGGAGAAAAUGGCGGGCAGUUAAAAGAAUAUUGACUGGGAGUAACAGAGGGAGUUACCGGUUUGACCAUCCUCCAUCCAGUUUCGAGCCUGACCCAUCCUGCCCUAGACUUGUGUCAUUCAGGAAACUGGAUGAUCCACAGCCUGGUCCAACGACUAAAUCCCAUCUGGCUGAAAUGGACCCAGCCAAAAAUAAGCCAGUCGUGCACGAGCGAGCCAACCCUCAGCCUCCACCCGUCACAGCAGACACCGGGAUUGCUGGGAAGCCGUUCCGAGCCACGCAGGUCUGGAAUAGCGUCGUCGACAACCUUCAGACGCAGGUGAAGGUGAAGAAGAGACGACACAAUCUGAAAAUCUAUCAGGAUUGUUUUUCGGGCUCGGAAGCUGUGGAUGUGGUUCUGGCUCAUAUCAUUCAGAGCAAGGUCUGCAAAGAUGCAGAGGUGCCUCGAUCCAAAGCCGUUCGACUCUGCCAGCACCUCAAUGAUGCCGAUGUCUUUGAGGAGGUGGACACCAACGUUUUUAGGAAGAAUAAGAGUCAUGCGAAAUUUAAGGACAGCAGCUAUAGUCUGUAUAGGUUUCUCCCGACCACGGGCACAUCAAGCACACCAUGGAUUAGGCACAUCAUCCCCAGAGACCAUCGAGAGAAGUUUUAACUCGCUUCAGAGGAACAGCAAGAGUCCACCCUACCAAAGUCCAUCUCUCCACAGACACCGGGAUUGCUGGGAAGCCGUUCCGAGCCACGCAGGUCUGGAAUAGCGUCGUCGACAACCUUCAGACGCAGGUGGAGGUGAAAAAGAGACAACAAUCUGAAAAUCUAUCAGGAUUGUUUUUCGGGCUCGGAAGCUGUGGACGUGGUUCUGGCACAUAUUAUUCAGAGCAAGGUCUGCAAAGAUGCAGAGGUGCCUCGAUCCAAAGCCGUUCGACUCUGCCAGCACCUCAAUGAUGCCAAUGUCUUUGAGGAGGUGGACACCAACGUUUUUGGAAGAAUAAGAAUCAAGCGAAAUUUAAGGACAGCAGCUAUAGCCAGUAUAGGUUUCACCCGACCACGGGCACAUUAAGCACACCAUGGAUUAGGCACAUCAUCCCCAGAGACCAUCGAGAGAAGUUUUAACUCGCGUCAAAGGAACAACAACCAAAGACACCGGGAUUGAUGGGAAGCUCUUCCGAGCCACGCAGAUCUGGAAUAGCGUAGUCGACAACCUUCUGACGCAGGUUAAGGUGAAGUGAUUAUUGUAAAUGAAAUGAUCACAUACAACAGUUUUGAUAUACUAGGCCUUAUGUUGUGUUCAGACCAAACGCGAAUGGCGUGUUAAGCGCGAGUGAUUUACAAGUCAAUGCAAAGACACGAUAGACCUACUUGCGGCGCGAUUUGCGCGAAUGAGGCCGUGCGAAUGACGUGAAUUGCGCAAAUGAUGCGAAUCGCACGAUUCGAGUUAAAAAAUUUGAACUUUGGUGAAAAUUUGCGCCGUGUUAACCAAUCAGGUCGGACAAUCUGGCAAGUUGUAAAAAACAAUCUUUACAAUAUCUGAGCAAUAUAUGUAUAUACGAGAAUAGAGCCGCCAAUUUGCGUCUGAAGUGAAGUGAUUUUGACGCGCGAAUAAAGCGAAUUUGACGUGCGAAUGAAGCGAGUAAACUCAAAAUGUUCCAGCGUCUAACUGCGCGCGAAUAGCGCGAUGCAUUUGCGCAAGUCGCGUUUGGUCUGAACACACAGUUGUUGAAACCUGGCUUAAGCCAAAUGAUUAUUUCGGUCUAAAUGAGUCUACUCCACCAAGCUACGGUUAAAUGCAUGAGCCAGGUCCGGUUGGUCGAGGUGGUGGUGUCGCAACAAUCUUUAGAGACCUUCUUACCGUAAUUCAAUGAACAAAGCAUGCAUUUAAAUCAUUUGAAGUGCUUGUGUUGAACAUAAUUGUUCCAAACAAAUGUAAAAAAUCAUUGCUCUCUCUUACAUUGGCUACUAUGUAUAGACUCCCAGGGCCAUACCCUAAUUUUCUGAUAGAGUUCGCAAACUUUUUUGUGUAACAAUACAUCAAUAGACCUAUUCAUCGACUUAAUCAUACACUAGAAUUUAUUAUAUCUCACGGAGCCGAUCUAACCAAAAUCGAUAUUAUACCUCAAAGCGACGAUGUUACCGAUCACCAUCCUAUAAUAUGUACACAGUGUACUGCAGAAAUCAGUCGUAUAGCUGGUUAUCGACAGUGUAGAAAUAUCACCUCAACUACUAAAGAUAGUUUCGUAAAGAACUUGCCAGAUCUGACUCCUUUAAUAACCUUGCCAACAAAUACAGAAUUGCUCAAUGACAUGACCAGCAACAUGGGCACUAUUUUCUCUCAUACAUUAGAAGCGGUCGCACCUAUGAAGUCAAAAAAGAUUAAUGAAAAGAUCAUAGCACCAUGGUUUAAUAGCACCACUCGCGCCCUAAAAAGAGAAACACGUAAACUGGAGCACAAAAUGGAAACAAACCCAAUUAGAGGUCUUUAAAAUUGCAUGAAAAGAGAGCAAAAACCAAGUUCCAAACUUCCAACUGUUACAAAAAGGAACUAAAAGCAGCAAAAGCCGAGCACUUCCGUUACCUCAUAGAAACAAACAAAAACAAUCCAAGGUUUUUAUUUGGUACAAUUGCUAAACUAACAAACAAACCGACUUCACCUGACCUGGCUAUUCCGCCGCACCUUGAUAGCAAUGAAUUCAUGACAUUUUUUACAGAGAAAUUCUAAAUAUGCGAGACAACAAACCUCCAAGUGUGACUGAAGAAUAAGUAAUCAAACAUCACCCCAAAAGAAAAGCUACAGUGUUUUUCUCCUAUAAAACAGGAAGAUUUAAUUAAACUUAUUGCAAACCGACAGCAUGCUUAUUAGACCCCAUUCCAACGACAUUAUUAAAAGAGUUACUGUUGCAAUUGAGCCCAUUUACAACACUAUCAACUCGUCAAUUAAUCUAAGCCAUGUCCCAGGACCCUUUAAACUGGCUGUAAUUAAGCCUCUUUUUUAAAAAAAACUUAUACCCCAAUGAACUUGGAAGCUAUAGACCGAUUUGAAAUCUCCCGUACUUGUCUAAAAAUAAAGUAGUGUCCACUCAGUUGUGUACUUUCCUUCAAAAUAAUGACAUACACAAAAAGUUUCAGUCUGGCUUUAGACCGCAUCAUAGCAUUGAAACUGCGCUAGUUAGAAUUACAAAUGACCUUCUUAUUGCAUCAGAUAAAGGUAACAUUUCACUCUUAGUCCUGCUUGACCUUAGUGCUGCUUUCGAUACUGUAGACUAGAGGUGCGCGGAUGAGCUAAAAUGUCACCCGCAACCGCUGCUUCAAAUAAAUGAUCCACCCGCCACCCGCCCGCACGUAUAAUUUUCUCUGAUAUAAAUAUCCGCAACCGAUCGUCACUUUAAUUACUCUGCUGCCAAUCUCUGAUGGUACAAUAAUACACUGAUCGUAAAAUGCUUUUAAAGGAACAUUUAUUUAUUAAACAAAAGUUUGUCUUCGGCCAGAUUAGCCUACAUUUUCUUAGUCAAAUAAACACAGGCGUACAUAAUCCCUUCAGACUUUUAAUAUCGCCGAUUCUGUCACUGCCACACAUACACAAAUGAAUGACUGGAUAACUGUACAUUUUCUAGCACUGUCUAUGUCUGCAAAUGCUUAAAUCUAAUCCUUCGAUUUAGCACACACAUGAUGUACCAUAUUCAAGGUCUUGUGGCUUUCAUAUACACACACAAUGCCUCACCGUCGUUGCUCACACACGAUACUUUUCUUUCUUUUGUCCUUCGUUUUGUUUUGUUUUUAAUUCUUUAGAAUUCUUAUUCUUUUAAUUUGUUUUAACAUCUUUUAAGCCAAGCUUUCCCUUAAUGCAUAGUUAACGAACAGCAGCUACGCUAAUUAUUCUCUUUCUGCCCCCUCCUCGGGAUGCCCAUCCCGAGAUAGGGAGAAAUUCCACCAGGUCCAGAGGAUCGACAGAUGCCCAUCCACAACUAGAGAUUACGCCAGCUACAGCUGCAGCUGCUUUGGAUCAAUGCACAUUGUGAAAAGCACUAUAUAAACUAUAAAAUCUUGAAUUGACUUGAAGAGGAGACGACACAAUCUGAAAAAAAUGCUAGUUUUUUGGGCUCGUAAGCUGUGAAUCGGGUUCUGGCUCAUAUCGUUCAGAGCAAGGUCUCCAAAGAUGCAGAGGUGCCUCGAUUCAAACCCGUCUGACUCUGCCAGGCCCACAUGGAAGCCAAGAUCUUCGAGGAGUUUCAAUUGAUUCCCUUUAUGAAAGAUGUGCAAAGGAGAUUUUGUGACGACUUCAUCAGAGUUGUACCCAGGGAGCCAGAGAGAAGAUAUAUUCAAUGUGCGGAUGAGCCAUGGAGCUUGCUCACUUGAAGCGCAUCAGAUAAGAUGCCGAAUUAAUUACAGUCUGGUCACACUGCAAACUGUCGUAUUAAACAAUACACAGACGUGAGGCCUUAGACCAAAAAGGUCUAAGUGACUGAAGAACCAACCUUUGACACCAGAGAUGUGCAGCCAGAGAAGAGCAUACAGUAUGAGAAUUCUGGAAGCAGUGGACCCACACUGGGAUUGAGAAAAAACGUUCUAUGUGUAGUGGGACAUGAAUUUCACACUUUAAUGUAGAUGCAGCUACAGUUCACUCAUUUACAGUAGUUGCAACUUCAAUUCACUGCCAAAUGAACUCCUGAUAAAUGCAGGUAAUGAGAAUUGCAUUUACAGAAAUUCUAUGUAGUGUCCACUGAACCCAAUUUAACUGGGUCUUUAAUUGUUGAUGAUGUCAUCACAGAAAGUUGCUGUAGUUAGACUGUGUCAUAACAAAUGCAGAGUGACUCCGGUUUCCGUACACAUGAGGAGCGAUUAUUAUUUAAGGCAGUGGUUUUCAAACUUUUCAGAUCAAGAACCACCUUUAAAAAAAUCAGUUGUUCCAAGUUCCACCUAAUGACCGCCAUAGAAAAUCAUAUGAAAAGACAUUCAAAUUAAUAGUAGAGCUGUGAAUCUUUAUAUUUACGCCCCGUCCUCCAAUUCUAACUUAUUAUUAAUAAUACAAAUACUUUUUGAAAAUGAAAUACAGUAUGUGUUUAUCAGCGAUCUGUGUCUAACUGUUUCAGUUUGUUUGCCAGUAUGAAUUGUUGUAAAGCAGGUUUAUACAAAACGUAUCUGUGAGAACAGUUAUGAUAAACGUCAUACCUCAAUGCCAUACUCUUCCUGACUUGACACAUUUGUACAUCCUAUCCAAAACACUGCGGUAAUCAGAGAAUGACUGGACCAGUCAAUGGCACACAAUCGUUCCUUUUAUUCUUGACUUUCAACCUGAUCGUAUACUCGCAUUGUUCUUAUUAAAAACUCCCAUUUAUUUCUUAAGUACUAUCUGUCUGAACAACUGGUGAAACUUGUAAGCCGCUUUGAAUUGAAACUCUCUCCCUGACUUUAGAUGUUUGACCAAACACCAAUCGAAAUCGUCUUUGUGGAAGGACAUUAAAGCUUUUCAGCCAUCUUUAAAACUUCAAAAUCAGCAAAAAAGCCAGCAGGUCACAUUCCACAUCUCUAUAAGACUGCUUCAAAAUAACAACAUACAUAAACAUGUAAUAAAAUGAAUAUACAAUAAAAUUCUACAAGUUGUUUAUUUAAUACCAGUAUACAAUACAAUAUUAAUUUAUACAAAAAAAUCUUAAGUGCUCAAAUUUUUGCAGAAAAAAUACAGUGUUUGUAUUUUUAGGCAGGAUAGUUCUACAAAAAGACAAAUCACAAAUGUUAUUACAUCUGACCAAAACUGUCAAUGUUCUUUUAUUUUUCAAAACUCGAAAUCUCACUUUUUGUUUUAGUGAUCUGAAACCCCUAAAGAUUAAUAACCUCAAUUUAAAUGUGGUGUUUGUUUGAAUUUUACUAAAUCUCCCUAAAUUCUGUGAUAUACUGUGAUAGAUGUGGUUGGUGGUGUGAGGUAAGAAAAAUAAUCGAAAUGUAUUUAAUACAGUAAUAAAUCAAUUAGAAAUUAAUACAAA
RNA transcript from Triplophysa dalaica, 6634 nucleotides. It is a transcript of the gene named DEP domain-containing protein 7-like, with no coding region annotated. NCBI's taxonomy places the organism in Eukaryota, Metazoa, Chordata, Actinopteri, Cypriniformes, Nemacheilidae. The transcript has 9 exons. The record is from RefSeq and is a predicted model, not a curated record.